RNAcentral lists this ribosomal RNA (448 nucleotides) under uncultured bacterium. Its description in RNAcentral is "bacterial SSU rRNA". It matches the Rfam family "Bacterial small subunit ribosomal RNA", at positions 355 to 825 of the family's 1533-position model. The record is from RNAcentral.
UGGGGAAUCUUGCACAAUGGGCGAAAGCCUGAUGCAGCAACGCCGCGUGCGGGAAGAAGGCCCUCGGGUUGUAAACCGCUUUCAGAAGGAACGAAACUGACGGUACUUUCAGAAGAAGGUGCGGCCAACUACGUGCCAGCAGCCGCGGUGACACGUAGGCACCAAGCGUUGUCCGGAUUUAUUGGGCGUAAAGAGCUCGUAGGCGGUUCAGUAAGUCGGGUGUGAAAACUUUGGGCUUAACCCAAAGCGUGCAUCCGAUACUGCUGUGACUUGAGUACGGUAGGGGAGCGGGGAAUUCCUAGUGUAGCGGUGAAAUGCGCAGAUAUUAGGAGGAACACCGGUGGCGAAGGCGCCGCUCUGGGCCGAAACUGACGCUGAGGAGCGAAAGCAUGGGUAGCAAACAGGAUUAGAUACCCAGGUAGUCCCUGAGCGGGCUGGCAAGGCGCAU